This 386-nucleotide ribosomal RNA is filed under the name Pareiorhaphis vestigipinnis. RNAcentral's name for it is "partial small subunit ribosomal RNA". It matches the Rfam family "Bacterial small subunit ribosomal RNA", at positions 560 to 1104 of the family's 1533-position model. Lineage: Eukaryota; Metazoa; Chordata; Actinopteri; Siluriformes; Loricariidae. The record is from RNAcentral.
GUAAAGGGUGGUUAUGGGACAGACAAAAUAAAGCUAAAGACCCCCAGAGCCGUCAUACGCCCACGGGGGCGCGAAACCCAAAUACGAAAGUAGCUUUACCAAACAAAUGCCCGACCCCACGAAAGCUGAGAAACAAACUGGGAUUAGAUACCCCACUAUGCCCAGCCCUAAACCUAGAUGAAAACUUACAAAACCAUCCGCCCGGGGACUACAAGCACAGCUUAAAACCCAAAGGACUUGGCGGUGCCUCAGACCCACCUAGAGGAGCCUGUUCUAGAACCGAUAACCCCCGUUAAACCUCACCACCUCUUGUUUUCCCCGCCUAUAUACCGCCGUCGUCAGCUUACCCUGUGAAGGUCCAACAGUAAGCAAAAUGGGCCCAACCC